UCAUGCGACAUCGUGUCAGAACUAACGGUCACAUGAGUGGCUAAAAAUAGACACUAGUACAUAAGGAAGAACAAGGUGUACACGGCGACAAAGUGAUCAAGCAGGUGCCAUAUUGCGUCUAAAGUAACAUAACCAGCGAUAUGAGCUACCCACAGACAUACCAACAGCAGCCUGGGUACGGGACUACAGCUGGAUACCCUCCACCACCGGCAGGAGCGUACGCGUACCAAACCCCUCCGGGUCAAUAUCCGCCAGGACAGUACCCCGCGGGCCAAUACCCACCUCCGGGUCCGGUCUACCAACAACAGCCAACAACAGUUUACAUGUAUGACGAUAGAGGGCGCCGCCAAGCGGAGGCCGAUAAGGAGGCUGCAGAAGACUGUUGCUUGUUAGCCGCCUGUUGCGCGUUGUUGUGUUGCUGUUUUGCCAAUUCAUGAACAGAAAACAAACAUUGUGUGUUGUUAGUGGCAUAAUCGAAUCAUAGACACAUCCCAAUAUAAAGAUAUGGGAUGGUUUAAUUACGCUGUGAUAUAACAAAAUGACAGUCCAUUCCAGAUCGUUUUCGAGGCAGCUGGAACUAAGACUGUUGCUUUGUCACAGCAUGUGGGCAUCACUAUGACGUAAUCAUGAGAAAACCCCCCGGAAAUGUGCAGUGUAUUAAUGUCAUGUAACUUUAUUUAAAUGUUGUUUCAUAUGUUUUAUAAAAUCAAUUAUUUUAUUACAUAUAUAAGUCUGAGGAUUUAUUUUGACAUAAAAUCGUUACCACAUGCAUGCUUACUGUCCUUAA
Molecule: long non-coding RNA, 787 nt
Organism: Mizuhopecten yessoensis (Yesso scallop)
Lineage: Eukaryota; Metazoa; Mollusca; Bivalvia; Pectinida; Pectinidae
Exons: 3
Source: RefSeq, a predicted model, not a curated record